Molecule: long non-coding RNA, 3142 nt
Organism: Talpa occidentalis (Iberian mole)
Lineage: Eukaryota; Metazoa; Chordata; Mammalia; Eulipotyphla; Talpidae
Exons: 11
Source: RefSeq, a predicted model, not a curated record
GCGCUCGGCGCCGUAGGGGCCCUGCUCGCCGUAGCUGUCCAUCUGGGCCUCGAUGAAGUCCCUCUGCUGCUGCCUGAUGGUCUGGCCGAUGAGCCCGGGCAGGGCGUGGAUGCUCCCGAUCAGAGUCUCUAGUUUCGUUUCCAAGGAUUCACUGCAACCGCCUAGUCACACCAGGAUGUAGUGCUGCUCUCACGGAGAUGAAACUCUACUACAAGAGGAUUAGCAAAGUUAAGUAAGCUGGCACACGAGCGACUGAUGUUUGGAGACACCAGAGCAGAUGCCUCCAGCAAUGUGUGAACGCGGAAAAACAGUCCUAACUGCAAGUCUGGUGGGAGGGCCAAGGCUGGUCUCUUAGCCGGGGGGAGACAUUGUUUUCGAUGCAGGGCUGUUUUAGAAGUCUGCUUUCUGCGGGGCUGGUAAUCAUGCCUGUUACAGCAAUGACGUUCAUGGGAUUUCUUAGCUCAAGUUCAUGUUGAUGGAUGGGCCCAGAGUUGAGAUAAAAGAAUGAUUUCAAGGUCAAGGUGCUACUCGAGAAAGAUUUAAAGUUACAGAAACAGAAUGCCUCACAGCGAUAAGUGACAAUCCAGAGAGACAGACAGUUUACCGAAAAGAGGAUAGAAGCCAGGAGAACUCGGCACCCAUCGGGACCAGAAAGGCCAUGUGUUGGGUCGAGAAGCUGUGAAGCUUGAAAAGGAGUAAAGAGUUGAGCGAGAGGGAGGCUGCAAGAAGGGGAGAGAGUGUUACUGGAAAAGCUCUUGGGUGCACUACACCAGAGAACAGGAGAGGCCAGGAGAGCUCUCUAGCAAAUGAGUCAGUGAAUUUAUCAAUUUUUCCUCAGCUCACAAGAUCGGAUUUCCCCCAGUGCUGACAGCAAGGCUGGGAGGCACUGGGUGUGCCAGGUGGGCAGUGAAGGCUUUGCCCUUAGGAAUCGAGCCCUAUGUGCUUCCCCUUUAUGAUGCCACUCACCCAGUUACAUUGCAAGGUCAUAAUGCCCCCUUAGGACAACCUCUCCCUGCCCAGCCCACUGACACUCUCUGGGCUUCACAAGUGCCAGUCCCCUCCCCCCUCAGCACCCCCGAGAUGAAGUCCCAAAACAAUUCAGAACAUUUUGGAGUUGCUUGAAGCUCCCCUACUCUAGGAGCACUCAGUGCGACACACAGAACACAGAGAGAAAUGCCUGAGAGAAACAGAAAAAUCACGCACGGUUCCCACCAUCACUGUCCCCCCAAGCAGGCGGUGCUGAAGCGCGUGUCACCGACACGGAGGGGCCUGGCAGAGGCAGCCUGCUGUGCGGCAGCAGUCUGCCCGAGCCUUUGUCUCCCGCACGUUUUACCAUACGCUUUCUCAGACUACAGCAAAACCGAGAGACUCUUCAGGUGAACAUGACUACACUGCUCCCCAAUUUUUACAGUGUUCGUGCAUUCUGAACUUGAGCGUUCUAGGACGGCAGACAGAAACACACCCAGCACUUACACAAGGCUACCGAAUUCUGUGACAAAAACCAGAAAAGCUUUUUGUCUUUUGUAAUUUUUGGUGACAUCAAAAUGCAUCGAAGGCAUCCAAGGCACACGCCACUGAACGGGUCACACUGACAGAGACCGGCCUCGCUCACACCUCCCGGCCCUGGACACGGGCGUGCCUUCUCACACACUAUAGGGAAGCGGUGGAGAGCAGGGGUGCAGAGAUCCUGCCCGGCACCACGAGAACGUACUUACGGAUUUCAUGUAUGGAGUGCCUACACCGCCAAAGAACGUCUUCUGGGAACCAACAAGACACUGCCUCCAUUUUUCUCCCUGAUGCAAGAAUAGCCCAGCGGAAGCAUUCAACCCGAGAGGCACCAAAGCAGGCUUUGUAUUUUUGUAAAUUAGCCAUGUCUCCCUGAGUACAUUGGCAGCUGCGUUUUUCACCUGUGAGGAAAACAAACAAACAAAAGGAAGCAGUUGAUAAACUUCAGAGGAGAAAUCCCGCGGAGCCUGGCUUGGGAUCACUUUCCUCAUCUCGGCGGUGCCAGGGGAGCGCCAGGAACUGAAGGGAAAAGAGUGGACACGCUAGCUGCAGAGCACCACGGUGCCGAAGAGGGACUUCACGCUGACCUCGGGAGAGGCCCACGGCGUGCCAGCAAAUCUGUGCUCUUCGUCCUUAGAGAAACACAUCUGCCUUCCUCGCGGAGGUUGGACCAGCUUGGCAAAGGCUCCAGGGCCUUUGCCCCACAGCACCAAGUGCUGCCCCUGCAGAGACCCACGUCUACAUCCAACCUCUACAGAUAGCGGCUUUCUUCAGACCAGCACUCGGGCUUCAACCCCCGUCAUCUCUGCAUUAGAAGUUACAGUGGAAACCAUCGUGCCCAAGUGGAGAACCACAUCACACUGCUCCUCUUGAGGGGGGUGGAGAAGACUUACUCUCUUCGUCAGCUGAGUGUCCAUCAUGAAGUUGUGCACAUGCUUUUCUGCUUUGGUCUUCAGGCCCCUCGAAUGGGAUGCACCAGCCAUGAGCAUGCACACACACACCAUCUACUCACACGCUCAGCCUCAGAGUGUUCCAGAUGCCGGUGGAAAUGGUCAGAGGGCCCCAACCCUGCACCAAGGACUCAGUGCUGAAGGGCAGGAGAUGACCCUACCCUGCUGGAGCUCUACGGCCACGCUGUGCAGCCGUGUGACCCUGCGUGGGGCCUGCUGAGGGGCCAGACCAGUGAUGACACGGAGGCUGAGGAGUUCGCCUGCCCCAAGUUCGGCCCACCCACGCAGAACCUUGCAUGUGAUGGUCCAUGUCACACACAUCUCCCCCCGAGGCAUGCCGUCCUGGGCAGUGCACCCCAUCAUCAGUGUGUGAUUAUCUGUAUUGAACAUGGACUUCUAAAGUAUUUAAAGAGGCAAAUAUUCUACUUACAUUUCUUAAAAACAGGAUCCAAACUGGGGAAUGGAAAGAAAUACUUUUUAAAGCCAACUGUGGAAAAAAAAGUUAACAAUUUGUGCUUUAAGAAAAACACCUAACCUUUCUUACCAUUUUUGACCUUAAAAAUUCAAGCUAGGAAAAGGCUUUUCUAUGUGUGCCAUACUUUGCUCCGUUAUAGACUUAAUGGGUGAAUCAUGUUUAUUUGAAUUAAUAAAUGAUUUAGCCAUGCAAUGAUGGCCCAACGAAUGAA